UACGGAGGAUGCAAGCGUUAUCCGGAUUCAUUGGGUUUAAAGGGAGCGUAGGUGGUCUUGUAAGUCAGUGGUGAAAUCUGGCAGCUUAACUGUUAAAUUGCCAUUGAUACUGCAGGACUUGAGUACAGAUGCCGUUGGCGGAAUAUGACAUGUAGUGGUGAAAUACAUAGAGAUGUCAUAGAACACCGAUUGCGAAGGCAGCUGACGAAACUGUAACUGACACUGAGGCUCGAAAGUGUGGGGAUCAAACAGG
RNAcentral lists this ribosomal RNA (253 nucleotides) under uncultured bacterium. RNAcentral's name for it is "partial 16S ribosomal RNA". It matches the Rfam family "Bacterial small subunit ribosomal RNA", at positions 524 to 776 of the family's 1533-position model. The record is from RNAcentral.